Long non-coding RNA from Hypanus sabinus (Atlantic stingray), 454 nucleotides. RefSeq lists it as uncharacterized. The record is from RefSeq and is a predicted model, not a curated record. NCBI's taxonomy places the organism in Eukaryota, Metazoa, Chordata, Chondrichthyes, Myliobatiformes, Dasyatidae. The transcript is spliced from 3 exons.
CUCGGGAGUACUUUGGAAAGCCAUUGUCACUUAACACAGUCUGUCGCUGCAUCCAGAAAUGCAACUUGAAACUGUAUUACGCAAGGAGGAAGCCAUACAUCAACUCUAUGCAGAAACGCCGGUGAGUUCUCUGGGCCCGAGCUCAUCUCAGAUGGACAGAAAGACUGUGGAACCGUGUGCUGUGGUCAGAUGAGUCCACAUUUCAGCUAGUUUUCUGGAAAAACAGGCAUCCAGUUCUCCGUGCCAAAGAUGAAAAUGACCAUCCUGAUUGUUAUCAGCGAAAGGUGCAAAAGCCAGCAUCUGUGAUGGUAUGGGGGUGCAUCAGUGCCCACGGCAUGGAAAGAAUAUGUGAUGAAGAAAAAGGAAGAAAUCAAAAGAAGACAAAAUGUUAAAAGCCUCAUUAAGAUGAAUGCACAGAUGAAGAACAGAUGCUAGCACCACCAGUAUACUAACC